Molecule: small RNA, 570 nt
Filed under: Pongo abelii (Sumatran orangutan)
Lineage: Eukaryota; Metazoa; Chordata; Mammalia; Primates; Hominidae
Description: retained intron
Source: RNAcentral
CCGUCUGCCGCGGGGUGCGGCGCAGCCACCGCCAUGUCGCUGCUGCAGUCGGCGCUCGACUUCUUGGCGGGUCCAGGCUCCCUGGGCGGUGCUUCCGGCCGCGACCACAGUGACUUCGUGGGGCAGACGGUGGAACUGGGCGACCUGCGGCUGCGGGUGCGGCGGGUCCUGGCUGAAGGAGGGUUUGCAUUUGUGUAUGAAGCUCAAGAUGUGGGGAGUGGCAGAGAGUAUGCACUAAAGAGGCUACUAUCCAAUGAAGAGGAAAAGAACAGAGCCAUCAUUCAAGAAGUUUGUUUCAUGGUAUCCUUUUCCUGGAACCAGGAGCCAGCACAGUGGCUUUGGCAGGCACAGGCCUGCGUCAAGCUGUGACCGCCAGUGGCCGAGAGGCUACUCUGUGACGUUGUCUUUCAUGUGUUAGAGUCGGCUUUUUGCUUUUACCUGACUUAGCUGUAGGUGACUUCUAGUAAGAAGCAGUUUUUUCUGUUUUUUUACUGCCAGGGUAGUCGUAGAAGAUUCAGAAGUGUUGGGAAUGGAGUUGUUCCCACCCAAGAGGUCUCCCUGCCCAGUGGA